GAUGAACGCUGGCGGCGUGCCUAAUACAUGCAAGUCGAGCGAACAGACGAGGAGCUUGCUCCUUUGACGUUAGCGGCGGACGGGUGAGUAACACGUGGAUAACCUACCUAUAAGACUGGGAUAACUUCGGGAAACCGGAGCUAAUACCGGAUAACAUGUUGAACCGCGUGGUUCAACAGUGAAAGACGGUUUUGCUGUCACUUAUAGAUGGAUCCGCGCCGCAUUAGCUAGUUGGUAAGGUAACGGCUUACCAAGGCAACGAUGCGUAGCCGACCUGAGAGGGUGAUCGGCCACACUGGAACUGAGACACGGUCCAGACUCCUACGGGAGGCAGCAGUAGGGAAUCUUCCGCAAUGGGCGAAAGCCUGACGGAGCAACGCCGCGUGAGUGAAGAAGGUCUUCGGAUCGUAAAACUCUGUUAUUAGGGAAGAACAAAUGUGUAAGUAACUAUGCACGUCUUGACGGUACCUAAUCAGAAAGCCACGGCUAACUACGUG
This 497-nucleotide ribosomal RNA is filed under the name uncultured bacterium. RNAcentral describes it as "partial 16S ribosomal RNA". It matches the Rfam family "Bacterial small subunit ribosomal RNA", at positions 28 to 507 of the family's 1533-position model. The record is from RNAcentral.